Molecule: microRNA precursor, 88 nt
Filed under: Leptotrombidium deliense
Lineage: Eukaryota; Metazoa; Arthropoda; Arachnida; Trombidiformes; Trombiculidae
Description: microRNA mir-263
Rfam family: mir-263 microRNA precursor family
Source: RNAcentral
AACGUUACCUUUUUCCUUGGCACUGGAAGAAUUCACCGAUGGAUCAAAAACUCGUGGGUUCUUGGGUGCCAAAGACGAAGGAAUCGAU